Leptonychotes weddellii (Weddell seal) is the source of this 6173-nucleotide non-coding RNA. Lineage: Eukaryota; Metazoa; Chordata; Mammalia; Carnivora; Phocidae. The record is from RefSeq and is a predicted model, not a curated record.
UAACAGCUGAAUUUCCUGUUGUUUCUUUUUCCCCUCGUAGAGGCCGAUGUCAUCACAGCCACAUAGCAGAACAAUUUCCCACAGCAAUGGAAGUUCUGUGAUGGCAUUGGGAUUACAAAUGCUGAGAAAGCCUGUCUCCGAUCAACCAGAAAGAGAAUGCUCUACAACUUCAAGUUCUGGAGGCCAGAAGUCCCAAAUCAAGGUGUCAGGAGGAUUGGCUUGAAGUCACAUCUGAACUGUGCUAACUGGGAGGGGCAGCUGCUGCAAAGAAGAGCAAUACUCAUCAGAAGGAGGGGAACAGAGGCAGCUGAGCAGGCUCAAACACCGGACAAACACUGUGGGGAGGAAGGCGCUGAGUUCCACUUGGACGUGCUGAGUUGUGAUGCAGCUGGUGAGACGCCCAAGCGUGAUGUCCCCUGUCCAUCAAAUUUGGCAGCAGGUGUAUUGUUUUUAACUUUAGCAAGAACACUUUCUGUGGAGUGUGGGGCACAAGGACUAUCAAAGGGAGUUGAGGAGUGAUUGGGAAGUGAGGAAAGUUGAAGCGGGGCCGAUCAGAAGCCAGAGAAUUAGGGUCUGUUCGGGAACAUUCUCAGCUCUGAGGACAGUGUUGCUCAGGCAGCUUUUCAGGACCGGAGGCAAUGCCCUAAAGCGGUACUUCUCAAAGGCUGGUACCCAGCCCAGCAGCAUCCAGCAUCUGGGAACUUACUGGAGAAGGGAAAUUUGCGGACCCACCCAAGACCUAAUGAAUCACAAACUCUAGGGUGGAGCCCUCAAGUCUGUGUUUAAGAAGCCCUCAAGGUGAUCCUGAUGCAGGCUAAGGCCUGAGAACUACGUCUCAGGAGCCUGGGAGAACAAGCCUGACAGAGCCACUGGGGCCCUGUCUCAGGGAGGCAUCUGUGUGUGGUGUUAGCAUGUUUACUCCAGCUGGGCUUGCUUGGAAGCAGAGAGUCUGGUUUGGGGUGGGGGUGAGUCAGGGUGUUGGGCCCAAGGGCAUGAAUUUUUGUAAAGCAAGCCAAUGAGAAAAGGGGCCGGUUCCCUUCCGGGGCAGGAUCCCUGCUGCUUAAGGAUGAACUACACCUGUUCUGAUCUUUCAAGCAGAUCAGCAGUCUGACAUCUUUCCACUCCUCUGAGCAAUACCAGAGGAAGGAGCUCUCUUGAAGGAUGGGGCUGGGGAUCAGCUGAAGCUGUCACCAAGUGGCAUUUCUCACAAUAUUUGCAGAGCCCCUGGGAGAUGUUAACCAGAAACUCGGUUUGCUCUUUGACUUCAGUCUUUAUGGUUGAAAACCCUUCCAAAGUGGAUCUGUCUUUUUACCACUUUAGAGACUAGAACAAAAUCUAAAGUAGCCAAGUUGUGAAAUAUUUAUUAUCUUUACACUGCAGAGUGGGUUUAAGAUGAGCUCUCCGAUAUUAUUGCUCCUACCCUCUUGCAUUCUGAUUUGUUUCCUUGAAAGGGAGAGAUUGGGUUGCAUGGAGUUGCUGCUGACUGCUGGGAUUUGCGUGUGACCCCCACCCCACAUUAUCGAUGGCACACUCUGUUACGUGUGUCUGCAUCUGAUUUCCCCUUAAUGGCUGUACAUGCAUGUCAUCUGUCCAGUGGGCAGAUAACAGGAAGUAUGGCACAGUGUAAACACAAUGAAGGCAGGGCUGGUUAGUUCACGGUUUUACCUCUAAAACCUAGAACUACAACAGCACCCAGUAAACAUUGUUGAAUGAAUGAAUGAAAGAACGUGGUUAUUAUAAUUGGAUUUGGGAUCAUCUUAGAAUCUAUGGGUCUAAGGGUUGCCAUUCUGAGCAUUAAUCCUCACUAUCUGGGACCAUAAACUUACUAAUCUUACUAAUCCUGGUAACUUCUGGAAAAAGCUUUCAGAAAAAUUUUGCAGAAAUCCUUGAAAUUACCUUUUUAUGUAGUUUUCUCUUUUUUCACGAAAGAAGAGGACAAUAUCAAAAUGGAGGGUGUUGGUGAUAGGAUUGGAUUACUCCAAUUCUUCUCUUCCCCCUCCCCCUUGGAAUGUAUCCCGUCUUUGCCACGUUGCUCUAUAGUGCCCCCUACCGGAGGGAUCAGACUAUAUUUCCCCAUCCACUGAUGUUGGACUUGGCAUGACUUAUUUUGGCCAGUGGAAUUUACUAGUAGACAUGAGAUGAGCAGAGACUUUAAAUGUGCUCCUGUAGUUGGCUUGGCUUCUUGUCCUGUCCUCCACCAUGAGAACUGACCUGGGCAUCUUCCGGUCCAAGGAAAAUGAGAGAAAUGUGGAGUGGACCUGAUCCCAAUCUGCAGCCCAGCACAGAGCUGUCCCAGCAGUCCCACACACCUGGGAGGAAGAAAAAGAAAUGCUUCUGAUAUGCCAUAGAGAUUUUGGAGUCAUUUGUUAUGCAGCAUUCACACAGCAGAAGCCCAACAAAUAACAUGUCCUUCAGGUGGAUCCUAGCAAACAGAUAUUUUACUGCAUUUUUUAAAACUUUUGGGGUGCUGAGGAUGACAAGAGACUAGAGAGGAGUUAAGAUGCUGAACAUUGGUGUUCAGUCCUAAUGCUCAAAUCAAGCCAGCAAGGACUAAACAAAGUACUAAACAGUGCUAAGCUGGAUAGCAUUAAAGAGAUCUUAUUCUAGUUAUCUCUGGUUUUUUAGAGGUCGUAAGUACCAGAUAGUAGCUCCCUGAAGAAGCAGCAGGAGGAAGAGGCCUCAUUUUUAGGAAUGCUCAUCCCAUGUUUUGGCGCAGGUGAACAUUGAAGCUACUGGCUCAUCAACCCCAGCAGCCCGGAGGAUUGUCACAAUAUCUAACAGCCCAUACAGAAAGGGCUCCAACUGCUCAAGGAGAGGCCCCGCUCCUGAGCCAUCUUCGGAGCAGAUGAGCUAUGAUCGGCAAUUUGGCGGGGGAGGGCCCCUCUUUUCCAAGAAUUCCAGCGAAGUCCCAAACCCAUCCUUUGAGCCAGGGUUGUUGAGUUGGACUCCCCCAGAAUGUGUGAUCCAAGAAUGAAAAGGGGAGGUUUCCAGUGACAGGUAGAAGAACGCUCCAGGGGUCUAUAUCCUAACGCUGAGAAACUAUGAAUAGGCUACAUGGCACGGGGGAAUUAAGGUUGCCAGUCAGCUCCUUCAACUAGGGAGAUGAUCCAGGUAAACCCGAUACAAGCAAUAGGAUUGUAAGUGGGAGAAGGAGGCAGAAGACGAGCAACCAGAGAGAUGGUAGUGAGAGAAGGACUUGGCCGGACGCUGCUGGCUUUGAAAAUGGAGGAACUGACUUCAGUUCCGUGAGACCUGUUUUGGACACCUGUGACCUCCAGAACCGUAAGAUAAUAAAUUUGUGUCGUUUUAAGGCACCGAGUUAGUGGUCAUGUGUUAUGGCAACAACAGAAAACGAAUACGUUCCCAAUAGGGAACUAGAGUGCUCUUCCCAAAAUGAGGGGAAAUGCCGGGCAGGUGAACAGAGAGACCAGAGCAGAUGUGUACUGUAGCCUGGGUCUCUAGUAUGUCUUGUUCUGUGGCUCUCUGGAUAUUUCCCCAGGGGGGACAGAAUAGCAUAUACUUUCCAAAGUGUUGUCGAUAGGAGCUUGCACCUGUUCCACAAAGCCAAAGCUCAUCGCACCUGUGAGUAAGAGCAGACAAGCCUGAGGGUGUUACCUCCAAAGGCAUUCUACACAGACUUGAAACCUGGUUCCUUCACUUACUGGCUGGGCAACCCUAGGCAGGUUACUUAACCUCUCUGUGCCUCAGUGAAAAGAGGAUGAUACCUAUCUAGCUGAUGGAGUUUUUAUGAGGAUUGAUGUUAGUACAUGUAACUAAGCAUCAUGGCUGGCAUAUGAUUAAGACUCGAAUAGUACUGGUUGCUAUUAGGGCUAACACUACUAGGUAGUCUGUGUAGUGAUUUGUAAGCCUUGGGUCUAGAGCCACAAUAUGGGGGGUCAAAGUUGGCUCUGUCACUUAGAACUUCUCUGCUUAGGCAAGUUAUCAGGCCCAAUUUUUUCUUGUGUAAAAUGAUGAUAUUAAAGUUACCUCCUUCAUAGAGUUGUGAUGAGGCAUUAAUCAAUUAACAGGCCUAAAGUCCUAGGACAAUGCCAGACAGGUCCGAUAAAUAUUCUCUGUCAUCAUCACCGUUCGCAGUUGUCCAGGGUCACCAUCGCUCUGAAUGAUGAAUAACGAAACAACCACCAUCAUUGAGUCAGUGGCUCCUCAUGGGACCAUGAAGACCUUUUCGGUUGGGAAGAACCGUGGUCUCCAUACUGGGGGAAUCACCAGAGCAACACCACCCCUCCUCCUCCAGGAGGUCAAAUCAUGGGGGAGAUGCACAUAUGAUAUAUAAAAAGAAAGGAAAGUGAAAAACUUAGUUGUCAGAAACACACAGUCAGGAGAGACUCAUAAAUGGGACAAAGGACACACGCCUGCCUCUCUUUUUUCUCUACUCUCUGAUUACGCAGCAUUGGACUUGCCUAUUGCCUUGGAUUCAGUGCUUUUACACUUUGUAACAUAGUCAGAACAUUAGGUUAAGGAACCUUGUCAUUUUCCUAUUCAAAGCUGUCCACUCAAUAAUACCAAGAAUUCCCACUCUGGUAGAUAAUGACAAGAAGUUAAGACAGCCCGCUAGUAAACAAGCAGAUCAUUUCAUGGCAGCAGCUGAUUUAAUCAAAACAUUCUGGUUCUCCCUCAUCUGAACCCACACAAGGACUGAACCAAUCCGAUUGGAAAAAAAUAUUUGUUUUAUCUUUGCUACAUUUAUUUACUCUUAGGGACUAUUUAACUUGAUCGGGCAGAGAAGCCGGAAAGAACGGAACCACUCGAGGCACUGAGCAGCCCUGUGUCUCUCCGGCACCGGGUGGAAUGGCUGGGGGUCCUUCCACACCGGCCUGUUCUCCAGCCACGUCUAGAAGUCCUUUGCCCUUGUCUUCAUGGGGGAGAAUUGCGCUGUUCGUGUGCCCAGUUUGGGGGGUGGGUGGGUGCAGAAUGGGAAUUAGAGAAAACAAGCCAGUAAUUUCACAGUUCUGCCCCGCCAUGUAAGUGAUUUCAAAAUACGAAAUAUUUUGUCCUUCCACAACAUUUUCUGACAAUUGUGUGUGUGUAAGGCAUGGCGAAGGUAUUACAGGAAGGCGAAGAUAAAUUAGAUCUGGAUUAAAUCCCAAGGAACGCCCAAAGUUCACAUGAUAGACACACGAAUACCUGUGAGGGGCCGAAAGCUACAGGUGUGUUCUAGGUUGGAGCCAGGAUCUCACAAAGAUGCUUGCUGCCUGUGAUACAAUAAAAAGUUCUAUACCUGGCACAGCGCUCCUAAAACCCUUAGAAAUGGGGUGGUGAACACAUCUACAUGCCGGAAGGGUGGCCUACCCUUAACCCUCGAGGCUCCUGCUCUUGGGAGCCUUUCACAUCUCACCCUAUGUACCUCUUCAUUUGGCUGUUCAUUUGUAUCCUCUAUAAUAAGCUUGAAGAGUAAGUGGAGCACUUUCCGAAGUUCUGUGAAUUGUUCUAGUAAAUAAUUGAACCCAGGUGGGGGGCAUUGUGGGGACCCCCGAAUUUUGUAGUCAGUUAAGCAGAAGUGCUGGUCACCUGGGGGCCCCACUUGCCACUGGCAUCUGAAGUGGGGGCAGUCUUGUGGGACUGAGCCCUUUAACUUGUAGGAUCUCAUGCUAACGAACUCCAGGUGUAGAUAGUAUUAGGAUUGAAUUGAAUUGUGGACACCCAGUAGGUGCUGGAGAAUUGGUUGGUGUUAGGAAAAACCAUGUAUUCAGUGUCAGGAGUGGAGUCAGAAAACACCAGUCAGUCUCACAAAAUUGCUCCAGCUUGAGGUAAGGGAGAUGAGCUUUUAUGCCCUGUAUCAGCUAGCCAUUGGCUAUAGGCUGCCCCCCGGGUAGAAUUACCUCCCAAAUAUUUCUGGGCAAGGUGGCUCCCACGGGUCAAGGGCAACUGUGCAGGGAAGGGUACAGCGGUAAGCCUGUAGCAGCUAAUCCUUGCAGCAGUCAUGGGCUGACUAGACCUGCUGGGGAAAAGGGGGUCUGGACAGGACACAACAGCACUGAUUACAAAGUUGCAUUCCAAGGAAGAUAGGAAACUGUGGGUGGAAGCUCCCAUGAGAUGCGAACUGAUCCACUGACAUCAGUAGGAGGUGAGGAGAUUCCUCAAAACAAUCAUCCAAGAAGCUCCUGCCUGAAGAUUCCAGUAAGACAUAGGUGAUUGUAUUAGCCAGCGUUGUC